Molecule: long non-coding RNA, 3085 nt
Organism: Orcinus orca (killer whale)
Lineage: Eukaryota; Metazoa; Chordata; Mammalia; Artiodactyla; Delphinidae
Exons: 4
Source: RefSeq, a predicted model, not a curated record
GGACAAGGCAGGGCAGGGCCCUCUUGCUGCCCACGUCGCCUUGUCCCUGUACUUAAUUCCCCAGGGAGGGCAUAGCCUGGGGACAUUCCGGUGCUAGCGCCCCACAGGCAGGGAUUCCACCUGCCCGCCCCUGGAAAGGUGCCCAGACAUAGGUGUGGCUUGUGCUGGUUUGUGUGGGAUGGUCCCAGCCCAUUCUCACCUGACCCUCGUAACACCCUCCAAGGGAGGCAGGGCCGGGCCUGCAUCCCUGUGGUCCAGGGGAGGCUGGGCAGGUAGUGGAGGCUGGGCAGGUGGAGAGGCUGGGCAGGUAGAGGAGGCUGGGCAGGUGGAGAGGCUGGGCAGGUAGAGGAGGCUGAGCAGGUAGAGGAGGCUGGGCAGGUAGGCAGCCCACCAUUCCUCCUCCCACAGCCCCUGCCCUCCCUCCUUAGGUGGGACCCAUCCUGCACUGGGAAUGUCUCACACGCCACCCCCUCACUAGUGUGUGUCUUCUGUGCCGGUCUCUUCCCCAUCUCCACCUCCACCUUGGAAAGCCCUUUCAGCUGUCUCGACAGGCCCAUUUCUAGGUGACGAGUCAGAUGAGCCUUUCUGAGUUUUUCUAAAAGACAGUGGCACCAGAUUCCCAGCCCAAAUUCCAAUAAGAUUUGUGUGUCUUUGGCAAUGAUCAUCUGUAAUACUAUUUCUAGGAUAUUUUGCUAAUCCAGUCUAAAUCUUUUUUUAAAGUCCCUCCAGAUAAUAAUGUUCUUACUUCAGGUUCUUUUCCUGCUGUUUUCUGUGUAGAGCUGCACAGACUAGGAGGAUCCACUUGAAAAGGAAGGAUCUAGCGGAUGCUGUUUUAAGUUCAUUUGGUUGACCUGACAGUGGUCCCUGCCGCGAAGUUGAUGAUUUUCUCCCUCUGGCCUGUGACGUGGUUGAUAACGGCCCCCUGUCCCCCUAUAGACUGAGGUCCAUGCCUGUCCCUGGAUAUGUGGGGCCUGGUGGGACCCCAAGGCUUGGAGCACAAGGCAGCCCAGGCCCUGAGGGCACAGGAAGUAGAUCCCAGCCCUUGUUCCUGGUCCCUUCUUCACCUGCAGGGAACUGAGAAAAAUGCAAACUCUGCUCUGAGAAGUGGCAGUCGUUUAAGGGAAACGCCUGGGUUUGCCUAGAGACCAGGAACGUUGUGUAUGUCCCUGAUGCAAAGCGUAUUUGCCUGUGACCAGAGGGAAGUGCUCCCCACGCACGGCAUCAGCCUAACCACCAGCUGGGUACAGCCUCACUGGCUGCACGUGUAAAUGAUGUUUAAAUAACCGUGAAAGGCUCUCUCCUGAGUAUCCCCGUAAGAGCCGUGUCCUGCAAACUCAGCCUCGCCUUCGGAAAACAGGCACUGAGGCCGCUGUCACAGCCAGCUCUGCCGACCUGCUCCCCUCCGCUGUGAGCUCUGCCCCAUGAAGGCAGCACCCCGAUUCUCCCUCUAGUUAAAGGUCAAAGGGAUCUUUAUAGCUAAAAAUAGUAAUAUGGAAUUGCAGGAUUGAAGAGAAAGGAUUUUGUUUCCAUUAGAAUUAGUAGGGAGUUAAUCAUGAAAGUUGCUCACUUCUGGGCAAAGAUUAAGUAUAACUGAAAAGCAAAGAUAAGAACAUUCGCUUCUUUCAUUAUAAAUUGUCAUCUUAAUUAUACACUGUGACUUUUCCCUUCCCAUUUCCAUAAAACAGUAGGUAUGAUUUUUAUUCCCAUGGCAGCGUUUUAAAAAUUGUGGUAAGAUAAACAUGACAUAAAAUUUACCACCUUGACUAUUUUCAAGUGCACAGUUCAGUCGUGUUAAGAGCAUUCACACCAUCUGUGCGAUCGUCUCCACCAUCCAUCUUCCAGACUUCUUUCAUCCUGCAAAACUGACGCCCUGUCCCCAUGAUACCCCACCGCCCUCCCCCAGCCCCCGGCACCCUCCCUUCUGUUUUCUGUCUCUGUGGAUCUCGCUGCUCCGGGGACCACACGUAAGUGGCAAAAUGGACACCCUGUCCCCAUGAUACCCCACCGCCCUCCCCCAGCCCCUGGCACCCUCCCUUCUGUUGUCUGUCUCUGUGGAUCUCGCUGCUCCGGGGACCGCACGUAAGGGGGGUCACACAGUAUUUGUCCUUUUGUGGCUGGCUUAUUGCCCUCGGCGUGAUGUCCUCGAGGUCCAUCCAUGUGGUAGCCUGUGUCAGAACUUCCUUCCUUUCCCACAUGUUUAACGUACCACAUACUAAUCCUCACAGCCCACGUCCUGGUCUCUUUAGAUCUGGGCUGGUGCCUCCCAGGAGCUGGUGGAACAGAGUUUAAUUACAGCAAAGAAAGAAACAGGGCAAGCCAGGAGCCCUGGGGGCCUGUGGGCUGAUGGGCUGGAGAAGGGCCUCGUGGAAGGCUCGCCUGCGUCCAUCCCCUCAGACGUUCCCUCCGCCCUCCGUGGGCGUCAGCCUCGCCGUACUGCAGAGAGCUGGGAGGAACAGGACAGCGCUCCCCGUGGGGCAUCUGGACGUCAGAUGCCGGCAUACUGAGAGCUUGGUCCAGGGCACCAGGAGGGGCCCCUUGGGACCGGCUCCCACAACAUGGCUCCCGGGGGCUGAGGCCUGAGGUGUCACAGACUCCCCCGGAGGUCGCAGUGGUUCCCAGGGUCAGGCGGGGCUCGUGGAGGGGUCUGGCCAGAAGAGCGGGCUCUAGCCGUCGAGGGCCCGCCUGGGUUCAGGAAGUCCCCUCUGAGCAGCUCUGCGUCUGCACAAGCCAGGGCACUUGCGGACGCUCUCAGGCCCAUUCAUGCAGGACAGACAGCCUGGGGGGCCCCCAGACCUUCCCCUGGGCUUGAGAGGGUCUCACACCUGCAGUCCCCAUGUGAGCCUGCUGAGCCAGGCACAAGAACAUGGGGGUGCCCUUUGCCCCCCACACACCGCGGAUGUGCCUGUGCUCCUGACCCAGCAGAAGCUGCCGACUAGGAAGCAGUGGUCUAAAGGCCACGUCUGCGAACAGCAGGUGACCUGCCGCCCCCCAGCCAGCGUGGAGAGUGCUGCCCAAGGGCCUGGGCGGCUCCCCUGGGGUCUCCGUGCCCUUCCGUGUGUCUCUUCUCUUUUAAAGCAUCUGUUUC